UAUGGCUCAGGAUGAAGGCUAGCUACAGGCUUAACACAUGCAAGUCGAGGGGAAACGACAUCGAAAGCUUGCUUUUGAUGGGCGUCGACCGGCGCACGGGUGUGUAACGCGUAUCCAACCUGCCCCCACUUGGGGAUAACCUUGCGAAAGUAAGACUAAUACCCAAUGACGUCUCUAGAAGACAUCUGAAGGAGAUUAAAGAUUUAUCGGUGAUGGAUGGGGAUGCGUCUGAUUAGCUUGUUGGCGGGGUAACGGCCCACCAAGGCGACGAUCAGUAGGGGUUCUGAGAGGAAGGUCCCCCACAUUGGAACUGAGACACGGUCCAAACUCCUACGGGAGGCAGCAGUGAGGAAUAUUGGUCAAUGGGCGAGAGCCUGAACCAGCCAAGUAGCGUGCAGGAUGACGGCCCUAUGGGUUGUAAACUGCUUUUAUAAGGGAAUAAAGUGAGUCUCGUGAGACUUUUUGCAUGUACCUUAUGAAUAAGGACCGGCUAAUUCCGUGCCAGCAGCCGCGGUAAUACGGAAGGUCCGGGCGUUAUCCGGAUUUAUUGGGUUUAAAGGGAGCGUAGGCCGGAGAUUAAGCGUGUUGUGAAAUGUAGACGCUCAACGUCUGCACUGCAGCGCGAACUGGUUUCCUUGAGUACGCACAAAGUGGGCGGAAUUCGUGGUGUAGCGGUGAAAUGCUUAGAUAUCACGAAGAACUCCGAUUGCGAAGGCAGCUCACUGGAGCGCAACUGACGCUGAAGCUCGAAAGUGCGGGUAUCGAACAGGAUUAGAUACCCUGGUAGUCCGCACGGUAAACGAUGGAUGCCCGCUGUUGGUCUGAAUAGGUCAGCGGCCAAGCGAAAGCAUUAAGCAUCCCACCUGGGGAGUACGCCGGCAACGGUGCAACUCAAAUGAA
This 900-nucleotide ribosomal RNA is filed under the name uncultured bacterium. RNAcentral describes it as "bacterial SSU rRNA". It matches the Rfam family "Bacterial small subunit ribosomal RNA", at positions 18 to 909 of the family's 1533-position model. The record is from RNAcentral. RNAcentral also lists the same sequence under 1 other name.